AAGCCACAGCAAGGGGCUGGCACUCACCUGAACGCAGAACCGCAGUGGACAGACCAUCUUGUGACCCUGGACACCCUGAUCUCUUCUAGUGAUGCUAGAAUUGGCUAGUGAAGUUUCUUGGAUCUGGACUUCUCGUUAUGGAAAAAAAAUGUUGCUGUCUGUUCUGCCAAGAUCUUCUCCUAAGUAUAAAAGACACACGUGUUAUACCAGAAACCAAAUGACACACCCUGGUAAGAGCAAUCCCGUGUUUAUUUCAAAUGGAAAAGGAGCACAAAGACCAGGAGGAAUGACGGUAGUGAGGGGUCACCUCCAUGCUGCCAUCUAAGCUCUAGAACACAGUAUACUUGAGGAUCUGCACGAUCCCCUCAGAAAGGCUUCUCCCAACAUUGACCUACACUUAUCUCUGGUCAGUGGGCUAGAAGGGAGGUUGGAGUGUUCCAGAACCCUAAAUAAAGCAGGUUUAGAGAAAAAUCUAAGCCUACAUCCGGCUCCAGGACAUGUGCGUGGGGAGUCACUAGGUACUCGUGUGGUUAUGAUCAAUGUGCCUGACAAAAUAAACUCGAGGAAGGAAAGAAAGGUUCGUUCCAGUUCAUGGUGCAGCCCACAUUCAAGGUGGGUCUUCCUUCCUCAAUAACGAGUUCUCCAGAAACACCUUCACAGACACACCCAGAGGUGUCGCCAGAUCCCUCCCAUCAAGUAGACCAUCAAGAUUAGCCAUGACUCUCUCCUCCAUUUUUUGGUGCCAUUCAAGCAGGCACAACCACUGUGGAAAUCAAUCUGGUGGUUCCUCAGAAAAUUGGACAUAGUACUACCUGAGGACGCAGCUAUACCACUCCUGGGCAUAUAUCCAGAAGAUGUUCCAACAUAUAACAAGGACAUAUGUUCUACUAUGUUCAUAGCAGCCUUACUUAUUAUACUAGCCAGAAGCUGGAAAGAACCCAGAUGUCCUCAACAGAGGAAUGGAUAAAGAAAAUGUGUUACAAUUAUACAAUGGAGUACUACUCAGUUAUUAAAAACAAUGAAUUCAUGAAAUUCUUAAGCAAAUGGAUCAAAUUAGAAAAUACCAUCCUGAGUGAGGUAACCCAGUCACAAAAGAGCACACAUGGUAUGCACUCACCGAUAAGUAGAUAUUAGCCCAAAGGCUCAGAAUACCCAAGAUACAAUUCACAGACCACAUGAAGCUCAAGAAGGAAGACCAAAUCUAAGUGAAAUAAAUACCU
RNAcentral lists this long non-coding RNA (1220 nucleotides) under Mus musculus (house mouse). RNAcentral's name for it is "predicted gene, 32401". The record is from RNAcentral. Lineage: Eukaryota; Metazoa; Chordata; Mammalia; Rodentia; Muridae.